Molecule: long non-coding RNA, 316 nt
Filed under: Carica papaya (papaya)
Lineage: Eukaryota; Viridiplantae; Streptophyta; Magnoliopsida; Brassicales; Caricaceae
Description: long non-coding RNA (CPAP_LNC005361)
Source: RNAcentral
ACAUCCGUCAACUGUCACAUCCCUCCUUUCCUAUUAACUUUCUCUCUCCUCACCAGAUUUGGCCAUUUAGCGCAAAUCCAAUGAUCCCCAUUUUUUGUAAAUUAGGAGCUCUUCCUUUCAUUUCCUCAUCACUUUUAUUUAAUUCUUCCAUUCUCUAAGAUCUUAGAGAGAGAGGGAGUGAUCUAGAGAGAGAAGGAGAGGAGAAGAAGAAGGGUGCAAGAAAAACUUCGAGGUUUCGAUAAAAAAAUUAGUAUUUACUUUUAAACAUCUUAAGGAGAAUUUCUAGAGUCAAAGUUAUGAAGCUUGAAAUAAUGAU